Molecule: ribosomal RNA, 216 nt
Filed under: uncultured bacterium
Lineage: Bacteria
Description: partial 16S ribosomal RNA
Rfam family: Bacterial small subunit ribosomal RNA
Source: RNAcentral
GUCCCAGUUCGGAUUGCAGGCUGCAACCCGCCUGCAUGAAGUUGGAAUCGCUAGUAAUCGCGGAUCAGAAUGCCGCGGUGAAUACGUUCCCGGGCCUUGUACACACCGCCCGUCACACCAUGGGAGUCGGUAACGCCCGAAGUCAGUGACCCAACCUUAAGGAGGGAGCUGCCGAAGGCGGGACUGGUAACUGGGGUGAAGUCGUAACAAGGUACC